CCCGAGAGGAGCAACUGAUAUCACUAUAGUAAGGAAUUUUACACUUUGUAGGUCGGAGAUAAAUACUCCAAAGACCACUACAACACUCAAAAGAAAUAACCCUCUUUUGAUAUUCUCACCUCACUACAAUAUCGCCCACUCUCUGUUUUCCUCACAGACUAUUUUCUUAUACCUUGUCUGUGAAACAUCACUCUUUCUUUCUCUCUUUGUUGGUGUGUAGAAAUGAGAGUUGAAGCUCUCCUUUUAUAGCCAAAGCUUCACUCUCUAAAGCCUACCAUAUUUGACAAUUUACACACACUUUUCACAAUUCAACAAAGUUGGCUACCAAACCAAAGAAAUUCAACAAAGUUGGCUACCAAACCAAACUAAUUCAACAAGGUUGGCUACCAACCAAACCAAGUCAACAAGGUUGGCUACCAAACCAAAGAAAACUUUUAUUAGGCACAUGUCUAAU
Molecule: long non-coding RNA, 454 nt
Filed under: Nicotiana tabacum (common tobacco)
Lineage: Eukaryota; Viridiplantae; Streptophyta; Magnoliopsida; Solanales; Solanaceae
Description: long non-coding RNA (NTAB_LNC017130)
Source: RNAcentral